AAUAAAAUAUUUAAAACAUCUGAAGUAAGCGAAUACAUUAUUCCAUUAAUGUGUUGAAGAAAUAAGUAGGUUUUGGUUGUGUUCAUUGUUGCUAGGCUGAAAAACAUUUAAAUAACAUUUGAAAUUAAACAUGGUCGUUGCAGGAGCUGCGCUGCUGACAGGAGCAAUAAUGGUCACAUUAUUUUUGGGGGGAAAAUUUCUUCUGCAAAUGGACCGGGAGAAUAAUGCAAUUCCUAUUACCAACUUGACAGGCUUAAGUGAAGAUAGAAUCCUGAAACUAAUGCGUGGAAAGAUUUUAGGACGAUAGGACAGCACGGAAGAAGAGGGAAUAUUACUGUGAUAUUAUAACGCCAGAGUGCAGCACUUCCCUUUGUGAACAGCUUAUUUUCAUAGCACGGCAAAUAACAUCGACUUGGGCAUCAUGACAACGGGUUUGUUUAUCACAGAUGCUGGUGCCGCCAUCUGUCAGCUUUGCCUAAUAUUCCCUUUUAGUUUUUAUUUUUAAUUUAAAUAUAAGUCUUGUAAAUUUAUUGAAACUUGUGUGUACCCAUUGCUUUGUUGUGCUCCGAUACAGUACCUACGUUGUAGCUCCGUCGUGCUUCGUUGUUUUCUAUAGAGUUUGACACUGAUAUGCGUUGACGUAUGUUGAAACUUCAUACAAUUUCUACGUUUUUCCGCGUUGAUCCGUCGACGGAUGUCAACGUGACGGAGGACGUCGCAGCGCAACUGAGCAAUGGGAACACGCUCGAAAUCGUUUCUAAAUAAAUGUGUGAAUCUUAAUUUAUUAUAAUUUUAUUUUGACAAUGUUGAAUGGAUUGUAAGAAAACUUCGAUGCUCUGUGGUGGAGGAACGAACCAGGAAAAUGCCCAGUGAGGGAAAGAGAAUGUAGACGAUGAAUCUUAUCUCAGUUUCAGCAAUCAAAUUUGCAUGAUUUAAAAAUUAAAAUUACUUACAUACGGUCUGUAGAAAAUAAAUGAGGACACUCUUUUCUAAUGGCUGGCGACAUUGGGUGCUUAUUAAUCAAUUUAGAGUAUAGUAUUGCAG
Plodia interpunctella (Indianmeal moth) is the source of this 1044-nucleotide long non-coding RNA. RefSeq lists it as uncharacterized. The record is from RefSeq and is a predicted model, not a curated record. The transcript has 3 exons. NCBI's taxonomy places the organism in Eukaryota, Metazoa, Arthropoda, Insecta, Lepidoptera, Pyralidae.